RNAcentral lists this ribosomal RNA (253 nucleotides) under uncultured bacterium. Its description in RNAcentral is "partial 16S ribosomal RNA". It matches the Rfam family "Bacterial small subunit ribosomal RNA", at positions 524 to 776 of the family's 1533-position model. The record is from RNAcentral.
GACGUAGGGCGCGAGCGUUGUCCGGAUUUAUUGGGCGUAAAGAGCUUGUAGGCGGUUUGUCGCGUCUGCUGUGAAAUUUCGGGGCUCAACCCCGAACUUGCAGUGGGUACGGGCAGACUAGAGUGUGGUAGGGGAGACUGGAAUUCCUGGUGUAGCGGUGAAAUGCGCAGAUAUCAGGAAGAACACCCGUGGCUAAGGCGGCUCUCUAGUACGGUACUGACGCUGAGACGCGAAAGCGUGGGGAGCGAACAGG